UGAAGAUGAUAGCCAGAGAGAAGAGGAGAGAGCAGAACCUCUCACAGUGCCACAGGAAAACAAUGAAGGUGGCAGCCAAAGACAAGAACAAAGAGCAGAAUCUUUCACAAUGGUGCAGGACAAUGUCCCUCAAGAAGUUGAUGAUGUCCACUCCUCCCAUGGACUAACAGAAGAGCAAAGCAUCAUCUCGAUUCUCUCCUUUAGAUUGAGACACAACACAACAGGUGUAUUAAUGGAAGACCUGCUGAAACUGCUCAAAUUGCAUUCUGCUCGGACUAGUGCAGUUCCAACAAGCAAGUAUUUUCUGGAGAAACCAUUAGCUGGUAUUACACAUCAGUUUGAACGACACCAUUACUGCAGAGUUUGUACUAAGUACAUUGGUUCUUCACAAUCUCUGGAAGAAACACUCAAAUGUGUGUCAUGUUCCUCAUUCAUGACAGUGAAAGCCAGUUUACAGGAAAGACAUUUCUUUAUUCACAUACCAUUGAAGGAUCAGCUGAAAGACAUUCUUGAGAACCAGGGUAUGCAUGAUCUAUGUUUUUGUGCUGAUGCCGGUACAAAGCAUGUAAUAAAUGACAUAUGUGAUGGCACCUUAUAUCAGACUUUGAAAAAUAACAGUAAAGAGGAUUUUCUGUCCCUUACAUUCAAUUGUGAUGGUGUACCAGUUUUUCAGUCCUCCAAAUUUAGUAUUUGGCCAAUAUUAUGCUGUGUUAAUGAGAUACCACCUGAGAGUAGGGAUAAACAUAUACUUUUAUGUGGUUUGUGGUUUGGAUCCAAGAAGCCAGACAUGUCCUGCUUCUUUAAACCAUUUGUUGAGGAGUGUGCCAAUCUUUCUCAAGCUGGUUUUGAGUGGCAGCAUCCUAGUGACCAGUCAUUGAGACACAUAAAAGUGCACACAUUGUGCUGUGUGUGUGAUGCAGUUGCAAGGCCAUUACUACAGA
Molecule: long non-coding RNA, 941 nt
Organism: Pleuronectes platessa (European plaice)
Lineage: Eukaryota; Metazoa; Chordata; Actinopteri; Pleuronectiformes; Pleuronectidae
Exons: 3
Source: RefSeq, a predicted model, not a curated record